This 452-nucleotide small RNA is filed under the name Histoplasma capsulatum var. duboisii H88. RNAcentral's name for it is "Histoplasma capsulatum H88 hypothetical RNA". Lineage: Eukaryota; Fungi; Ascomycota; Eurotiomycetes; Onygenales; Ajellomycetaceae. The record is from RNAcentral.
GGCCCGCUAAAUUUUAACUAAUGGCCUCGUCGAGGGACCCCUUUCUUCCUUGCUCCUUGUUCCUUGCUCCUUGUUCCUUGCUCCUUGUUCCUUGUUCCUGACGAACUUUUUCCGCCACAGAUCUGUGGAGUUGAGAUAACAAGCCAACUUUUCUGGUUUCCCUGCUUGUUGUUGUUGUUGUUAUCCCACGGACGCCCUGUCCUUGAUAUGCAGCGUUUGCUUUCCAGAUUUUAUUGGGGUGUCGGAUGUUUUCUUUUUUGGGGCUUUUGGUUUUGUUUUCUCCUGUCCUUUGUGUGCCCUGCUUGGCCAAUCCCUUUAUGGGUCUGGUCCGAUUGAUCAUGGUAUGUUGUGCCAUUGUUGUUGAUCUUUCACUGGCUGGAAGAUCGCUGUUAUUGAGCAACCCGAAUCACCUGGAAGCACGAAGCGCGACCGAAAUGGGAGGAUGGGAAAGA